AAAACAUACUAAUUAAUUAUUUAAAAUUAAAAUUGACAAAAUUCCAUAAACAAAUUUCGAUUCACAACCCGAACGUGAUAUGAACCUAUAAUCAAUUUAAUGCCAUUGGCCGAGUUGUUGCUUUCUCAUACCAAAUAUGGCCGACAUGGGUUAUCAAGCAAAUUGCAGAAAUUCAGUUACACCUAUAAUUUAUGCGUGGCUACCGACCCAAUAUGGUUGUUCCGUUGUUUAUCGAUAAUCUGAUUGUUUAUAUAAAUUAUAACGAGUCUUCACGAGAGAUAACAAACAAGCUUUUAGCUCGAUAUCAAGAAACAUAAAUUCAGAUUAAAGCAACAUUUUGUGGAGACAUUUCUUCAGUAAAUAUCCGACGUUAGAACACACAUCGCUUCACACCUCGUCUUCAAGUCCAUUAUGCAAAUGCGUUAGAUAAACGCAAAUAACGCAGUACUUCGGCUUCGUGCAGAACCGUGAGAUGGAUCGCCCGAAGCGAAACAAUUAUCCAUAAUAAUUUGCUCCAGACCGGUUCUGAGCAAUAAAUUCACGUCAAUCAUCCAAUCAAGCGGUGGCGUUCCCUGCCUGGCGAAAACAAGUUAUUGCAGCUAGGGUGACAAGGAUUUUAAGCGUCAAUACGAGACAAAUACAAUGAAAUAAAAGUAGAUUUUUUUUCAUCACAAGCACAGGCUUUUU
This is a long non-coding RNA of Papilio xuthus (Asian swallowtail), 687 nucleotides long. RefSeq lists it as uncharacterized. The transcript is spliced from 3 exons. Lineage: Eukaryota; Metazoa; Arthropoda; Insecta; Lepidoptera; Papilionidae. The record is from RefSeq and is a predicted model, not a curated record.